UUGGUAUGAGUGUGUAAGAGCGCAUGGUGGAUGCCUUGGCAUCAGGAGCCGAUGAAGGACGUGGAAAUCUGCGAUAAGCCUCGGGGAGCCGAUAAACGGGCUGUGAUCCGAGGAUGUCCGAAUGGGGAAACCCCGCCACAUGAGAGUGUGGUGACCCGCAUCUGAAUAUAUAGGGUGUGUGGAGGGAACGCGGGGAAGUGAAACAUCUCAGUACCCGUAGGAAGAGAAAAUAAAAUAUGAUUCCGGGAGUAGUGGCGAGCGAAACUGGAUGAGCCUAAACCGUGUCAGUGUCAAGCGUGCUGGUAUUGCUGACAUGGUGUUGUGGGGUAUGCGUGUCUCACCCAGCAUGGUGGGGACGUUGAUGUGUGUUGCGUGUAGUCGAAGCUGGUGGGAAACAGUACCGGAGUGGGUGAGAGUCCCGUAGACGAAACAUGUGACCCCGACGUUAUGCAUGUCCCCGAGUAGCACGGUACUCGUGGAAUGUCGUGUGAAUCUGCCAGGACCACCUGGUAAGGCUAAAUACUUCCUGAUGACCGAUAGCGGAUAGUACCGUGAGGGAAUGGUGAAAAGUACCCCGGGAGGGGAGUGAAAUAGUACCUGAAACCAUGUGCUUACAAUCCGUCAGAGCCUCCUUGUUGGGGUGAUGGCGUGCCUUUUGAAGAAUGAGCCUGCGAGUUAGCGGUGCGUGGCGAGGUUAACCCGAGAGGGGUAGUCGUAGCGAAAGCGAGUCCGAAUAGGGCGUCCCAGUCGCGUGUCCUAGACCCGAAGCGGAGUGAUCUAGCCAUGGGCAGGGUGAAGCGUGUGUAAGAGCGCGUGGAGGCCCGCACCCACUUCAGUUGAAAAUGGAGGGGAUGACCUGUGGUUAGGGGUGAAAGGCCAAUCAAACUCUGUGAUAGCUGGUUCUCCCCGAAAUGCAUUUAGGUGCAGCGUUGCGUGGUUCUUGCCGGAGGUAGAGCUACUGGAUGGCUGAUGGGCCCCACCGGGUUACUGACGUCAACUAAACUCCGAAUGCCGGUAAGGUUCAGCGUGGCAGUGAGACAGUGGGGGAUAAGCUUCAUUGUCGAGAGGGAAACAGCCCAGACCAUCAACUAAGGCCCCUAAGCGUGUGCUAAGUGGGAAAGGAUGUUCAGUUGCGAAGACAACCAGGAGGUUGGCUUAGAAGCAGCCAUCCUUGAAAGAGUGCGUAAUAGCUCACUGGUCAAGUGAUUGAGCGCCGAUAAUGUAGCGGGGCUAAGUACACCGCCGAAGUUGUGGCAGCAUCCCAGACGCCGUAAUGGUGGGGUGUUGGGUAGGGGAGCGUCGUGCUGGCAGUGAAGUCGCCGUGUGAACGAGUGGUGGAGCCGGUACGAGUGAGAAUGCAGGCAUGAGUAGCGAAAGACGGGUGAGAAACCCGUCCACCGGAUGACCAAGGGUUCCAGGGCUAGGCUAAUCCGCCCUGGGUAAGUCGGGACCUAAGGCGAGGCCGACAGGCGUAGUCGAUGGACAACCAGUUGAUAUUCUGGUACCGACGUUCAACCGUCAAUACCAAAACACACGAUACUAACCACGUCACUCACCCGUGAUGUCUUCGGAUGUCUGGUUGGUGUGUGGUGUGGGACCUGAGUGUGGAGUCGGUAAGCGCGAGGUGUGACGCAGGAAGGUAGCCAGGCCACGCGAUGGUAGUCGUGGUCUAAGGUCGUAGCACGUGGGGGUAGGUAAAUCCGUCCCCACUCAUAGUGUGAGAGCUGAUGGGCGCCCCACUUGUGGUGGGGUGAUCUGGUGAUCCUAUGCUGCCGAGAAAAGCAUCGGCGUGAGGUUGUGUGUUGCCCGUACCCUAUAACCGACACAGGUGGUCAGGUAGAGAAUACUAAGGUGAUCGAGAGAAUCGUGGUUAAGGAACUCGGCAAAAUGCCCCCGUAACUUCGGGAGAAGGGGGACCAUCCUGGUGAAGCCAACUUGCUUGGUGAUGUGCUGGUGGUGGUCGCAGAGGCCAGAGAGAAGCGACUGUUUAUUAAAAACACAGGUCCGUGCGAAGAUGUAAGUCGAUGUAUACGGACUGACGCCUGCCCGGUGCUGGAAGGUUAAGAGGACUCGUUAACCCUUUAGGGGGUGAAGCGGAGAAUUUAAGCCCCAGUAAACGGCGGUGGUANNNNNNNNNNNNNNNNNNNNNNNNNNNNNNNNNNNNNNNNNNNNNNNNNNNNNNNNNNNNNNNNNNNNNNNNNNNNNNNNNNCCAGUAAACGGCGGUGGUAACUAUAACCAUCCUAAGGUAGCGAAAUUCCUUGUCGGGUAAGUUCCGACCUGCACGAAUGGCGUAACGACUUCUCUGCUGUCUCAACCACGAACUCGGCGAAAUUGCAUUACGAGUAAAGAUGCUCGUUACGCGCAGCAGGACGGAAAGACCCCGAGACCUUCACUAUAGUUUGGUAUUGGGAUUCGGUGUGGUUUGUGUAGGAUAGGUGGGAGACUGUGAGGCCUCAACGCUAGUUGGGGUGGAGUCGUCAAGUGAAAUACCACUCUGACUAUACUGGAUUUCUUAACUUCGGACCCUGAUCGGGUUCAGGGACAGUGCCUGAUGGGUAGUUUAACUGGGGCGGUUGCCUCCUAAAGAGUAACGGAGGCGCCCAAAGGUUCCCUCAGCCUGGUUGGCAAUCAGGUGUCGAGUGUAAGUGCACAAGGGAGCUUGACUGUGAGACGGACGUGUCGAGCAGGAGCGAAAGCUGGGACUAGUGACCCGGCCAUGGCUUGUGGAAGCGUGGUCGCUCAACGGAUAAAAGGUACCUCGGGGAUAACAGGCUGAUCUUGCCCAAGAGUCCAUAUCGACGGCAUGGUUUGGCACCUCGAUGUCGGCUCGUCGCAUCCUGGGGCUGUAGUCGGUCCCAAGGGUUGGGCUGUUCGCCCAUUAAAGCGGUACGCGAGCUGGGUUUAGAACGUCGUGAGACAGUUCGGU
RNAcentral lists this ribosomal RNA (2927 nucleotides) under Brevibacterium aurantiacum. Its description in RNAcentral is "partial 23S ribosomal RNA". It matches the Rfam family "Bacterial large subunit ribosomal RNA". Lineage: Bacteria; Bacillati; Actinomycetota; Actinomycetes; Micrococcales; Brevibacteriaceae. The record is from RNAcentral.